Molecule: ribosomal RNA, 322 nt
Filed under: uncultured Streptococcus sp.
Lineage: Bacteria; Bacillati; Bacillota; Bacilli; Lactobacillales; Streptococcaceae
Description: bacterial SSU rRNA
Rfam family: Bacterial small subunit ribosomal RNA
Source: RNAcentral
AGCUCGUGUCGUGAGAUGUGGUUAGUCCGCAACGAGCGCAACCCCUACUUGUUAGUUGCCAUCAUUCAGUUGGGCACUCUAGCGAGACUGCCGGUAAUAAACCGGAGGAAGGUGGGGAGUGACGUCAAAUCAUCAUGCCCCUUAUGACCUGGGCUACACACGUGCUACAAUGGUUGGUACAACGAGUUGCGAGUCGGUGACGGCGAGCUAAUCUCUUAAAGCCAAUCUCAGUUCGGAUUGUAGGCUGCAACUCGCCUACAUGAAGUCGGAAUCGCUAGUAAUCGCGGAUCAGCACGCCGCGGUGAAUACGUUCCCGGGCCUU